This 497-nucleotide ribosomal RNA is filed under the name uncultured bacterium. RNAcentral describes it as "partial 16S ribosomal RNA". It matches the Rfam family "Bacterial small subunit ribosomal RNA", at positions 28 to 507 of the family's 1533-position model. The record is from RNAcentral.
GACGAACGCUGGCGGCGUGCCUAAUACAUGCAAGUUGAGCGCUGAAGGUUGGUACUUGUACCAACUGGAUGAGCAGCGAACGGGUGAGUAACGCGUGGGGAAUCUGCCUUUGAGCGGGGGACAACAUUGGGAAACGAAUGCUAAUACCGCAUAAAACCUUUAAACACAAGUUUUAAGUUUGAAAGAUGCAAUUGCAUCACUCAAAGAUGAUCCCGCGUUGUAUUAGCUAGUUGGUGAGGUAAAGGCUCACCAAGGCGAUGAUACAUAGCCGACCUGAGAGGGUGGUCGGCCACAUUGGGACUGAGACACGGCCCAAACUCCUACGGGAGGCAGCAGUAGGGAAUCUUCGGCAAUGGGCGGAAGUCUGACCGAGCAACGCCGGGGGAGGGAAGAAGGUUUUCGGAUCGGAAAACUCUGUUGGUAGGGAAGAACGUUGGUGAGAGUGGAAAGCUCAUCAAGUGACGGUAACUACACAGAAAGGGACGGCUAACUACGUG